GGGAGAUUGUCAACAGAAAAUCCUUCCACAGUAUCAAUGUUCAGAUGAUCUGUGAUGCCGCCUGAAUCAUUACCAAUCUGGAGGCAAAGUGGCUGCUGCCAUUGAUCAAAACCUGCAGAAUUGCUCUGUUGUCAGGCUGCCCGGUCACUGAGAUAGGCUGUGCAUCUUUGGUCUCAGCUCUGAAGUCAAACCCCUCCUACCUGAAAGAGCUGGAUCUGAGCUACAAUCACCCAGGAGACUCAGGAGUCAGACUGCUCUCUGCUGGACUGAAAGAUCCACACUGGAGACUGGAGAAACUCAAGUAUGUCUUGUAGAUGUUAGUUACUUCAGUGGUGUGGUAGUUAGUCCAGUGGGGUGGUAGUUAGUUCAGUGUGAUGGUAGUUAGUACAGUGUGGUGGUAGUUAG
Long non-coding RNA from Esox lucius (northern pike), 405 nucleotides. RefSeq lists it as uncharacterized. Lineage: Eukaryota; Metazoa; Chordata; Actinopteri; Esociformes; Esocidae. The transcript is spliced from 3 exons. The record is from RefSeq and is a predicted model, not a curated record.